Molecule: ribosomal RNA, 253 nt
Filed under: uncultured bacterium
Lineage: Bacteria
Description: partial 16S ribosomal RNA
Rfam family: Bacterial small subunit ribosomal RNA
Source: RNAcentral
UACGUAGGGUGCGAGCAUUGUCCGGAAUUAUUGGGCGUAAAGAGCUCGUAGGCGGCCUGUCACGUCGGAUGUGAAAGCCCGGGGCUUAACCCCGGGUCUGCAUUCGAUACGGGCAGGCUGGAGUUCGGUAGGGGAGAUCGGAAUUCCUGGUGUAGCGGUGGAAUGCGCAGAUAUCAGGAGGAACACCGGUGGCGAAGGCGGAUCUCUGGGCCGAUACUGACGCUGAGGAGCGAAAGCCAGGGGAGCGAACGGG